UCAGUAGUAAUCCUCCUGUCUGUCUGAGAUGCAGGAACUGCCCCACCCCACAGUGACCUGCUGUUUUGUCUGGGAGAAGAGGAGGUUUGGAUUGCUUUACUGUGUCACUUCUGUUCCUGCAGCAGUCCCUGUUCUUGCCUAUGGGAUUUCAGAGUGCUGUGGUGCUCCUUUGGGGUCGUGGGUGUAUGCACCAGGGUGAGGUCUAGGGUGCUCUGGUGGAGCAUCCCAAAAGCUAAGGGGAAGAUCAGUGUGCCAAGGUGUGGUGGUGGGCAUGGGGAAAGGAGGGAGCACACAAGCCAUAAAGGAAGAGGAGUUUGACUCAGAGCAGUAGAGCUCUACUCUCACCUAUUAUUGCCACUGGUUCCAAACUGGACUCACUGCUUCCUCUAGUUCUUUUGAUCACCAGGUUAAGUGGUUAUAUUUCCCAGUCUCACCCUGAAACAGGCACUUGUACCUCUCAACUCGUUUUCUAUGGCAGCUAUUCUGCUACCUGCAUCCUCCAGUCUGCCCCGACAGGAGGUUUUAUGCUCCCCCACCUCCAUAUCGAGCAUUUCACAUCCCCAUGCCUGCUGUGAUGCCUCAGGCAGCUCCUCACCGCCUUUCCAGCUCUGAGCCGCGGCCUCUGCUCUAUCCUCCUGCUUCUCGGGCAGCCUAGUGGCCCGCCUGCCCUGUCUCGUCCCGCCAAGGAGCAUCCCGGUAGCGGGACCUCCUCCUCCUCCUCCUCUUCUUCCCUCCUUCCCUCCCGGCGGCCUCGAGUCGCGCCAGUGAUGGAGAGAGCGUCACCGGCUCCUAGCAACGCGCCUAGCAACGCUCCUGGCAACCAGGCAACAUCUACUCCCGCUGGACCAAUCCGCGCCGGGAACAUCUGGGCACCCACCUCCGCGGGCUGCGGCCGGGAGGUGAUGCACUCCUCAGUGGCUGCAGGGACCCACAAGAGCUGCCACCUCCACCACCACCUCCUCCACCACCACCUCCUCCACCUCCUCCAGGAGCAGCAAGCAUCGAGGGAAGGACGGGAACAACCCUCCUUCUGGAGCCGGGGCUAGCUGGGUAACCCUUCAGCAGUGCUGUGCUGCCAGAAAUGCUCACUGAGCCCGUGCAAGCAGGAAAUCUUACUAAAGCUGCUGAGAUCAUCCCAGAGAGACCCUUUGCAGAUUGACUCUGCAUCCUCAGAGCUGAUCUGAUUGGGGCCUACCAAAGACAUUAACGACGUCGAAAGUAGCCUACUUUAAGAGAAAAUAUGCAGAAGAAGAACAUUUACAUCAAGAUUACCAUGAGUAUUGUUCAAAACACCUGAUACUGCCUGAGGACCGGACCUGUAUUCUAAAACUUUCUCUCCAGAAACUCCGAUUCCUGGAUGACCCUGAAGCCUAUCUCCGAAGGUCUGUAUUAAUUAACAAUCUGUUGAGGAAGAUUCACCUAGAGACAGAGAGGGAGAGCUAUGAAUACUUUAAGGAGGCUCCGUGUUACAGGACUGCUUACUCUGACGCACGAAAACGGCUGAAGUUUAUGGUGCAGGAGUGCUGUUCCCAGUCGCUCUAUUAUGAAGAGCUGCAUUCGUAUCGCAUCGUGCCUUACUCUGCAGAGAACGCCGUUUACGGAAUGGGCUACACGAGCAGCCACUUGGAGCAAAAUUCUCAAUUGCUUAUUUAUAAAAUGAAUUAAAAGUAGCUGUUAGACCCACUGAUGUUUGUUUCUGAAUGCUUGAACUGCUUGUUGAGAGGUUAAGAUGGGGCACUAAUUGCAGAUAUACUUGUGAUCAAAGGUGGAUGCGUUGAGAGCUGAGUGGAAGGUACUUUGAAUAAUGCUCUGCAGUCCCUGCUCUUACCCCCUGGUUAUGAAGUACCUUGGCUUACACACAGAGCUGGUGCAGUAUGGAGGUCCUUACCCACAGAGACUGUGUGCAGCAUGUUUUAAGUUAUCUGUGUGUAGAUACAGAUGCUCCAAAUCACUUUGCAGUUAAAUUAUGCCAACCCCCGUGGAUGGGGAGCCCCAACAUUGUGGAGUUGUUUAACAGUGAGGAGUGAAAUGCAAGUUAUUUACUGUGAAGUUAUAGAUAGAAAGUUUCUUUGAGAAAUGCCUUGAGCAUGAAAGAGUUAGUGCCAAAGGAAACAACCUUUUGCCUAGGAUUUUCAGAGACUUCACUUGCUUGCUAUGUACAAGACACUCCAUACCGAGAUUUGCAAGGGAUUUUGGUUUGGUGG
Dryobates pubescens (Downy woodpecker) is the source of this 2204-nucleotide long non-coding RNA. RefSeq lists it as uncharacterized. The record is from RefSeq and is a predicted model, not a curated record. The transcript is spliced from 4 exons. NCBI's taxonomy places the organism in Eukaryota, Metazoa, Chordata, Aves, Piciformes, Picidae.